RNAcentral lists this ribosomal RNA (622 nucleotides) under uncultured Gammaproteobacteria bacterium. RNAcentral describes it as "partial 16S ribosomal RNA". It matches the Rfam family "Bacterial small subunit ribosomal RNA", at positions 1 to 599 of the family's 1533-position model. The record is from RNAcentral. Lineage: Bacteria; Pseudomonadati; Pseudomonadota; Gammaproteobacteria.
GUCGCAUGCUCCCGGCCGCCAUGGCGGCCGCGGGAAUUCGAUUAGAGUUUGAUCAUGGCUCAGAUUGAACGCUGGGGGCAGGCCUAACACAUGCAAGUCGAGCGGUAGAGAGGUGCUUGCACCUCUUGAGAGCGGCGGACGGGUGAGUAAUGCCUAGGAAUCUGCCUGGUAGUGGGGGAUAACGCUCGGAAACGGACGCUAAUACCGCAUACGUCCUACGGGAGAAAGCAGGGGACCUUCGGGCCUUGCGCUAUCAGAUGAGCCUAGGUCGGAUUAGCUAGUUGGUGAGGUAAUGGCUCACCAAGGCGACGAUCCGUAACUGGUCUGAGAGGAUGAUCAGUCACACUGGAACUGAGACACGGUCCAGACUCCUACGGGAGGCAGCAGUGGGGAAUAUUGGACAAUGGGCGAAAGCCUGAUCCAGCCAUGCCGCGUGUGUGAAGAAGGUCUUCGGAUUGUAAAGCACUUUAAGUUGGGAGGAAGGGCAUUAACCUAAUACGUUAGUGUUUUGACGUUACCGACAGAAUAAGCACCGGCUAACUCUGUGCCAGCAGCCGCGGUAAUACGAAUCACUAGUGAAUUCGCGGCCGCCUGCAGGUCGACCAUAUGGGAGAGCUCCCAA